AUUGAACGCUGGCGGCAGGCCUAACACAUGCAAGUCGAGCGGAAGGGGCUUCGGCCCCGAGAGCGGCGGACGGGUGAGGAUGGCGUGGGAAUCUGCCUGUAGAUGGGGGAUAGCCCGGAGAAAUCCGGAUUAAUACCGCAUAAUACCUGAGGGUUAAAGUGGAGGAUCGCAAGACUUCACGUCUACAGAUGAGCCCACGUCAGAUUAGCUAGUUGGUGGGGUAAAGGCCUACCAAGGCGACGAUCUGUAGCUGGCCUGAGAGGGUGGCCAGCCACACUGGAACUGAGACACGGUCCAGACUCCUACGGGAGGCAGCAGUGGGGAAUAUUGGACAAUGGGCGCAAGCCUGAUCCAGCCAUGCCGCGUGUGUGAAGAAGGCCUUCGGGUUGUAAAGCACUUUAAGUUGGGAGGAAGGUUCCAAGGCUAAUACCUUUGGGAAUUGACGUUACCGACAGAAUAAGCACCGGCCAAUUCCGUGCCAGCAGCCGCCGUAA
Molecule: ribosomal RNA, 494 nt
Filed under: uncultured bacterium
Lineage: Bacteria
Description: partial 16S ribosomal RNA
Rfam family: Bacterial small subunit ribosomal RNA
Source: RNAcentral